GAUGAACGCUGGCGGCGUGCCUAAUACAUGCAAGUCGAGCGAACGGACGAGAAGCUUGCGUCUCUGAUGUUAGCGGCGGACGGGUGAGUAACACGUGGAUAACCUACCUAUAAUACUGGGAUAACUUCGGGAAACCGGAGCUAAUACCGGAUGAUAUUUUGAACCGCAUGGUUCAAAAGUGAAAGACGGUCUUGCUGUCACUUAUAGAUGGAUCCGCGCUGCAUUAGCUAGUUGGUAAGGUAACGGCUUACCAAGGCAACGAUGCAUAGCCGACCUGAGAGGGUGAUCGGCCACACUGGAACUGAGACACGGUCCAGACUCCUACGGGAGGCAGCAGUAGGGAAUCUUCCGCAAUGGGCGAAAGCCUGACGGAGCAACGCCGCGUGAGUGAUGAAGGUCUUCGGAUCGUAAAACUCUGUUAUUAGGGAAGAACAUAUGUGUAAGUAACUGUGCACAUCUUGACGGUACCUAAUCAGAAAGCCACGGCUAACUACGUG
This 497-nucleotide ribosomal RNA is filed under the name uncultured bacterium. Its description in RNAcentral is "partial 16S ribosomal RNA". It matches the Rfam family "Bacterial small subunit ribosomal RNA", at positions 28 to 507 of the family's 1533-position model. The record is from RNAcentral.